AUUGAACGCUGGCGGCAUGCCUAACACAUGCAAGUCGAACGGCAGCACGGCAGUAGCAAUACUGUGGGUGGCGAGUGGCGGACGGGUGAGGAAUACGUCGGAAUCUGCCCAGUCGUGGGGGAUAACUAGCCGAAAGGUUAGCUAAUACCGCAUACGACCGAGAGGUGAAAGCGGGGGACCGCAAGGCCUCGCGCGAUUGGAUGAGCCGACGUCGGAUUAGCUAGUUGGUGGGGUAAAGGCCCACCAAGGCGACGAUCCGUAGCUGGUCUGAGAGGAUGAUCAGCCACACUGGAACUGAGACACGGUCCAGACUCCUACGGGAGGCAGCAGUGGGGAAUAUUGGACAAUGGGCGCAAGCCUGAUCCAGCAAUGCCGCGUGUGUGAAGAAGG
Molecule: ribosomal RNA, 390 nt
Filed under: uncultured bacterium
Lineage: Bacteria
Description: bacterial SSU rRNA
Rfam family: Bacterial small subunit ribosomal RNA
Source: RNAcentral